CCUACGGGAGGCAGCAGUGAGGAAUAUUGGUCAAUGGACGAGAGUCAGAACCAGCCAAGUAGCGUGAAGGAUGACUGCCCUAUGGGUUGUAAACUUCUUUUAUAUGGGAAUAAAACGUUCCACGUGUGGGAUUUUGUAUGUACCAUAUGAAUAAGGAUCGGCUAACUCCGUGCCAGCAGCCGCGGUAAUACGGAGGAUCCGAGCGUUAUCCGGAUUUAUUGGGUUUAACGGGAGCGUAGGUGGAUUGUUAAGUCAGUUGUGAAAGUUUGCGGCUCAACCGUAAAAUUGCAGUUGAAACUGGCAGUCUUGAGUGCAGUAGAGGUGGGCGGAAUGCGUGGUGUAGCGGUGAAAUGCAUAGAUAUCACGAAGAACUCCGAUUGCGAAGGCAGUUCACUGGACUGCAACUGACACUGAGGCUCGAAAGUGUGGGUAUCAAACAGGAUUAGAUACCCCAGUAGUC
RNAcentral lists this ribosomal RNA (460 nucleotides) under uncultured bacterium. Its description in RNAcentral is "partial 16S ribosomal RNA". It matches the Rfam family "Bacterial small subunit ribosomal RNA", at positions 338 to 795 of the family's 1533-position model. The record is from RNAcentral.